RNAcentral lists this ribosomal RNA (468 nucleotides) under uncultured bacterium. RNAcentral's name for it is "partial 16S ribosomal RNA". It matches the Rfam family "Bacterial small subunit ribosomal RNA", at positions 28 to 507 of the family's 1533-position model. The record is from RNAcentral.
GACGAACGCUGGCGGCGUGCUUAACACAUGCAAGUCGAACGGAAAGGCCCUGCUUUUGUGGGGUGCUCGAGUGGCGAACGGGUGAGUAACACGUGAGUAACCUGCCCUUGACUUUGGGAUAACUUCAGGAAACUGGGGCUAAUACCGGAUAGGAGCUCCUGCUGCAUGGUGGGGGUUGGAAAGUUUCGGCGGUUGGGGAUGGACUCGCGGCUUAUCAGCUUGUUGGUGGGGUAGUGGCUUACCAAGGCUUUGACGGGUAGCCGGCCUGAGGGGGUGACCGGCCACAUUGGGACUGAGAUACGGCCCAGACUCCUACGGGAGGCAGCAGUGGGGAAUAUUGCACAAUGGGCGGAAGCCUGAUGCAGCAACGCCGCGUGCGGGAUGACGGCCUUCGGGUUGUAAACCGCUUUCGCCUGUGGCGAAGCGUGAGUGACGGUAAUGGGUAAAGAAGCACCGGCUAACUACGUG